This 104-nucleotide non-coding RNA is filed under the name unclassified sequences. RNAcentral's name for it is "DUF3577 RNA". It matches the Rfam family "DUF3577 RNA". The record is from RNAcentral.
CGAAUCGGACAGUGCGGGAAACCGCAUGAAACUCGCCUGCAAUCCCGGCAUCACCGCGCGAGCGGUGUGGCGACUUUUCAAAUGCUGCCUAUGGCGGCACCUCA